This 497-nucleotide ribosomal RNA is filed under the name uncultured bacterium. RNAcentral's name for it is "partial 16S ribosomal RNA". It matches the Rfam family "Bacterial small subunit ribosomal RNA", at positions 28 to 507 of the family's 1533-position model. The record is from RNAcentral.
GAUGAACGCUGGCGGCGUGCCUAAUACAUGCAAGUCGAGCGAACAGACGAGGAGCUUGCUCCUCUGACGUUAGCGGCGGACGGGUGAGUAACACGUGGAUAGCCUACCUAUAAGACUGGGAUAACUUCGGGAAACCGGAGCUAAUACCGGAUAAUAUAUUGAACCGCAUGGUUCAAUAGUGAAAGACGGUUUUGCUGUCACUUAUAGAUGGAUCCGCGCCGCAUUAGCUAGUUGGUAAGGUAGCGGCUUACCAAGGCAACGAUGCGUAGCCGACCUGAGAGGGUGAUCGGCCACACUGGAACUGAGACACGGUCCAGACUCCUACGGGAGGCAGCAGUAGGGAAUCUUCCGCAAUGGGCGAAAGCUUGACGGAGCAACGCCGCGUGAGUGAUGAAGGUCUUCGGAUCGUAAAACUCUGUUAUUAGGGAAGAACAAAUGUGUAAGUAACUAUGCACGUCUUGACGGUACCUAAUCAGAAAGCCACGGCUAACUACGUG